CUCACGCCCACUUGCCCCCACGUACAGAGGAAGGGGCGGGAGCGAGCAAUUGAAGCAUCCUCACGCUGCUUCAGCAGUGCAUGUCUGGGGGGACAGCCUGGCUUGGAGGGCUGACGUGGAUUCCGCCGGAACGGUGUUCUACCAGGCACUAGUGAGCAGCAAUGCUCCCUAGCUCCCGGUAACAUGGCCAGCAGCACACUCGAAAUAAAAGAGGGGCGGCAAACUUGAACAUAAAGUCAGGCCCUGCUCUUAUCACAGCUCUAAAUGCCUUCAAGAUGGUGGUGGAAUGUGGGUGGGCACAG
Pelobates cultripes (western spadefoot toad) is the source of this 302-nucleotide non-coding RNA. The record is from the annotation of a GenBank genome assembly. Lineage: Eukaryota; Metazoa; Chordata; Amphibia; Anura; Pelobatidae.